UUUUCACCACUAUUUUUUCAACAUUUAUUUGGAGAGAUGUCCUUUAUUGGAGAAGGUUGACUUUUAUUAAGAUUUCAGAAACUUUUAAUACCAUUUGCCCUUGAAUUAUUUGGAUAAAUUGAAUUUUCUAUAUUUUCUUGGUUAAACGGUAGAAAGUGAAAAUUAUUUAAUUUAAUAUUCCGUAGUCGUACUUCAUUAUUAGAUAAAGUAUUAAGUUUCUUCUUAAAAACAAAAAAAUAAAGUAUUAAGUAGUAUUUGAUCUAGUGAUGAUAAAGAUUGUAAGUUGGAAGUGCAUGUGAGAUUUUAAUACUGAUCGUCUUUUACCCUAAAAAUAUACAGCACGUUUGUAGUGCAACCAGCUGCAACGUAUGGCCUGAAGCCAGCUCAGCAAAAUAACGGAAGCUGACAAAAAAUAGCGGGAUUCUCCAAAAUUUUACAAAAAAGCAGGAAAUCAAUUCUUAACAAAAAAAAGCGGCUGACACACGCCACAUGCUUCCCAAAAGCCUACAAUAAUCCGCUGAUUUUUCUCAACUUUCUCACACUUCGAUUUUGCUCAACUUUUUUCCAGAAUUUUUCUCAAAUUUCUCACAUUUCGAUUUUUCUCACAAUUCAAUUUUUUACUUUGAAAUUUUCAGAGAUCUUUCACAUGGCUGAUGAAGAACCAAAUUUUCCAGACUCACAAGUAUCAAUGGAAAUUGAAGAAAUUAGAGAUUCAUUAAUGAAUCUAAAGAUCGAAAACAAAAUAAGAGAAAUCAAAGAACACAUAUUAGAAAUCUUCGAAUUACAAGAAACAAGUGACAACACAACAGAAAAGACUUAGAGCACAUUAGCAAAAGAAAGCACAAAUGAUAACAAUCAGACACAACAGAGUAAAGCUCCCAAGAAGAAGAUUUUGACUAUAUAGGAAGCCUAAUAGGAUUUAUAGCACAAACUUUGGAUGAAAUUUGUGAGAUAUAUAAAAAGCAUGCAUUUGCUAUGGGAUUUGGAGUAAGACUAUCAACCACCAAAUGGACUCAAGGAGAUAACAAACAAAUAAAGGGAAAAGAUUUUGUUUGUUCUAAAGAAGGCUUUAGAUGCAAACCCAAGGUUAAAAAAAACUCCUCCUCCGGCAAAUGAAAACAGAAAAAAAGUAAAACAAGUUCCUAUAACCAGAAUGCAAAAAACAGGUUCAAAAAACAUUAAUAAGAGAAAAAAAAAAACAAGGAAGACCUGUUUGAAAUUGAGGAACAUGUCAUCAAUCACAACCAUGAGU
Chenopodium quinoa (quinoa) is the source of this 1252-nucleotide long non-coding RNA. RefSeq lists it as uncharacterized. The transcript has 2 exons. The record is from RefSeq and is a predicted model, not a curated record. NCBI's taxonomy places the organism in Eukaryota, Viridiplantae, Streptophyta, Magnoliopsida, Caryophyllales, Amaranthaceae.